This 72-nucleotide transfer RNA is filed under the name Candidatus Poseidoniales archaeon. RNAcentral describes it as "tRNA-Gly". It matches the Rfam family "tRNA". Rfam says of the family: Transfer RNA (tRNA) molecules are approximately 80 nucleotides in length. Their secondary structure includes four short double-helical elements and three loops (D, anti-codon, and T loops). The record is from RNAcentral. RNAcentral also lists the same sequence under 1 other name. Lineage: Archaea; Methanobacteriati; Thermoplasmatota; Candidatus Poseidoniia; Candidatus Poseidoniales.
GCGAACGUGGUCUAAUGGCUAUGAUCGUAGGUUCCCAACCUGCUGACCCGAGUUCGACUCUCGGCGUUCGCA